UGCAGUCGAGGGGUAGAGGAAGCUUGCUUCCUUGAGACCGGCGCACGGGUGCGUAACGCGUAUGCAAUCUACCUUGUACAGGGGGAUAGCCCAGAGAAAUUUGGAUUAAUACCCCAUAGUAUUAUUGAAUGGCAUCAUUUGAUUAUUAAAGUUCCAACGGUACAAGAUGAGCAUGCGUCCCAUUAGCUAGUUGGUGUGGUAACGGCACACCAAGGCGACGAUGGGUAGGGGUCCUGAGAGGGAGAUCCCCCACACUGGUACUGAGACACGGACCAGACUCCUACGGGAGGCAGCAGUGAGGAAUAUUGGUCAAUGGGCGCAAGCCUGAACCAGCCAUGCCGCGUGCAGGAUGACGGUCCUAUGGAUUGUAAACUGCUUUUGUACAGGAAGAAACACUCCCUCGUGAGGGAGCUUGACGGUACUGUAAGAAUAAGGAUCGGCUAACUCCGUGCCAGCAGCCGCGGUAAUACGGAGGAUCCAAGCGUUAUCCGGAAUCAUUGGGUUUAAAGGGUCCGUAGGCGGUUUUAUAAGUCAGUGGUGAAAUCUGGUCGCUCAACGAUCAAACGGCCAUUGAUACUGUAGAACUUGAAUUACUUGGAAGUAACUAGAAUAUGUAGUGUAGCGGUGAAAUGCUUAGAGAUUACAUGGAAUACCAAUUGCGAAGGCAGGUUACUACGAGUUAAUUGACGCUGAUGGACGAAAGCGUGGGGAGCGAACAGGAUUAGAUACCCUGGUAGUCCACGCCGUAAACGAUGGAUACUAGCUGUUUGGAGU
RNAcentral lists this ribosomal RNA (774 nucleotides) under Flavobacterium columnare. RNAcentral's name for it is "bacterial SSU rRNA". It matches the Rfam family "Bacterial small subunit ribosomal RNA", at positions 56 to 830 of the family's 1533-position model. Lineage: Bacteria; Pseudomonadati; Bacteroidota; Flavobacteriia; Flavobacteriales; Flavobacteriaceae. The record is from RNAcentral.